Molecule: transfer RNA, 65 nt
Filed under: Dipodomys ordii (Ord's kangaroo rat)
Lineage: Eukaryota; Metazoa; Chordata; Mammalia; Rodentia; Heteromyidae
Rfam family: tRNA
About the family: Transfer RNA (tRNA) molecules are approximately 80 nucleotides in length. Their secondary structure includes four short double-helical elements and three loops (D, anti-codon, and T loops).
Source: Rfam by way of RNAcentral
GGUGGCUCAGUGGUAGAGUGCUUGUCUUGCAUGCAUGAGGCCCUGGGUCCAAUUCCCCAGCACCA